AGGCGGCACCCAGACUUGCCCCGCUGAGAUGCAAAUCUGUGAAGAGAUGCCCUGCCAAAGCGCUUCAGUGGUGCCCCCUGAACGUGUCCACAAGGCCUUGCCUGGUGUGGUCUCUCCCGCUCCAGCCCCGUGACCCUCACUCAGUUCCUAUAGUGACCUGCUCUCCACUGUCCCAGCCUCUCUAGAAGAUGACAUUGCCUCGCUCUGGAACGUUCUGGUCCCCUUCCUUGCCUGGGCUCCAGUCAGAGCUCUGCUCAACACUUGCUUCCUGGAGAAAGCUUCUCUGCCAUGACGGGGCGCCUCCCCCUAAAACAGGCUGUGCAGCCAGGGGACGUCACCUCUUCACAGCACUGCUCACAGGCUCAUUCAUUAAGAACAUCUCUCCUGAGCAUCCCCCAGUGUCUGAAUUUUCUCCAAGGAUGGAGCUUCCAACCGUUGGUGAAAACGGAGGACACAGGCACGGCAGCAGCACUCUCGCGGCGCUGGUUUAACGUCAGGCGUGACCGUGGUCUGCCCUUUGGGAGAAAGGCAGAGCAGCGCCUCUCUGGAAGAUAGCUUUGAGACCGUCCAACUUUGAACGUCUCUGGACCUCACCUCCCAGACUUCCCCUCACUGGAGACAGGAGGCCUGUUUGCAUUGCGUAUUUUUAUUUAGAAGGUCAGUUGCAGCAAUGAAGAAAAGCUGAAAUAAACUGCUUUCUACAACCUUUUUUGCAAUAGCUUUCACAUUCAAGACGGAAGACGCCACUCAGUUCAAACUGGGAACAGAUUUUAGAAUGUCGGGGACAGCUGCGGAGUGAUUCUCUCAAAGUCCCAGGGCCCAAAAAUACUUGUCAGGCUGGGAGAGCAAGGAGAAUGACGCUGUCCUCCAGCUGUUUGAAGAGAAAUCAACGCCUCCAAAAGGUUCCCCGUAAAACCAGCCAAUCCCCUCCUCUCCGCCAGCCAGCUCUCGGGCAGACCUCCCUGUUUCCACUCUCCCUGUUUCCACGCUGCAAACGCAGAAGCCGCUCUUGACUCAGCCUCUCUCUGCCCUCUCGUGGCAGCGUGGGGUGGAAAGAGCGUGAGCCCGAAGAGGAUGUGAUGGCGGGAUACCCGGCCUGGGUCAUGCUUGCCCUGCGGUGAGAAUCUUCACUUCACUGAGCCCCACUUUCCUUGCAUGUGUCAUGGCGAUGAUGGCUUCCAUUUCCCAGGGUAGUUUCAGGAUGAAAUAAAGUAGUCCAUGAAAGCAUCUGCUGUACACUGGACAUUCAAUAAAUGUUAAAAACAAAACAAAAAAACCCAAACCCCAAGCUCCUCUUUUUUGCGUUGUAUCUCAGCCACAUCCCUCC
RNAcentral lists this long non-coding RNA (1327 nucleotides) under Equus asinus (donkey). RNAcentral's name for it is "lncRNA (ENSEASG00005029602.1)". Lineage: Eukaryota; Metazoa; Chordata; Mammalia; Perissodactyla; Equidae. The record is from RNAcentral.